CUCCAGUUGAUCGCAUGGUCUUCUGGGAAAGCUUUCGCGGUAUGGGAUGGGGUCGCGUCCUAUCAGCUUGACGGCGGGGUAACGGCCCACCGUGGCUUCGACGGGUAGCCGGCCUGAGAGGGCGACCGGCCACAUUGGGACUGAGAUACGGCCCAGACUCCUACGGGAGGCAGCAGUGGGGAAUAUUGCACAAUGGGCGCAAGCCUGAUGCAGCGACGCCGCGUGAGGGAUGGAGGCCUUCGGGUUGUAAACCUCUUUUAUCGGGGAGCAAGCGAGAGUGAGUUUACCCGUUGAAUAAGCACCGGCUAACUACGUGCCAGCAGCCGCGGUAAUACGUAGGGUGCAAGCGUUAUCCGGAAUUAUUGGGCGUAAAGGGCUCGUAGGCGGUUCGUCGCGUCCGGUGUGAAAGUCCAUCGCUUAACGGG
Molecule: ribosomal RNA, 425 nt
Filed under: uncultured Bifidobacterium sp.
Lineage: Bacteria; Bacillati; Actinomycetota; Actinomycetes; Bifidobacteriales; Bifidobacteriaceae
Description: bacterial SSU rRNA
Rfam family: Bacterial small subunit ribosomal RNA
Source: RNAcentral